This is a long non-coding RNA of Epinephelus fuscoguttatus (brown-marbled grouper), 854 nucleotides long. RefSeq lists it as uncharacterized. The record is from RefSeq and is a predicted model, not a curated record. The transcript has 4 exons. Lineage: Eukaryota; Metazoa; Chordata; Actinopteri; Perciformes; Serranidae.
GGUACACAGAUAUAUACACGGUUUAGACAUGAACAUAACGUUCCAACAUUUUGACCCAAACUCAUUUUAAUUCAGCCUGUUGAAGCUAAACACACACACACACACACACACACACACACACACUCUUCUCCUGCUGUGAGCUGUUAUUUUAGCAGAAGCAUCACGCCCUCCUCCACCCUGGUCACCCCCAGUGAACUCAGCUGGUUUCCUGUAAAUGCAGAGGGGCGGGGCUACACUGAACAGGUGAUCCAGGUACAUGAGGACAGGGAGGAACCCUGACACUGACGUGUUCAGACGGCUCAGACUCCAUGUUGAGUGGACGGAGCAGAAGGAGGAAACGUGAAGGCUGAGGCAGGUUUCAGUGCAUCACAUGCAGUCAAACAUCCUGUGGUCUACAGUGACCUCUAGUGAUGAAACUGGAAACUAACACACAACAUGUUUCCCCCUUUGUGUAGGCAGCUUACACAGUAAAGUAAAGGGGCUGAGGAGAAUGAGCAUUUGAGUGAAACAUCUCAGAAACCCAGGGGCAUUUUAAUCUGGUCUGGUCUUUGAUGCACGGUGCAUCAAGAGAGGAAAAUAUCUGCUUCUGGACUGUCAUGGGGAAACUGGACAAAUAUGUUUCAUAGAGAGGAAGAGGAGUGAUGUUUGUGUGGAGGAGCAGCUGUCCUGCUGUGCUUUGUGUCAGGACGUCCUGAGGGAUCAAGUCUCUACCAGCUGUGGACACUGGUUCUGCAGACAGUGCAUCACCUCAUACUGGGACCAGUCUGCUUCAUCAGGAGACUCCUCCUGUCCCCAGUGUGGACAAAGAUCCAGAACAAGAGCUGGACUGCAGACAGCCAGUCAGACCAACACUG